UCUUCUUGUAAUUUGAAAAUACUGCUACAAAGUUCGGUUUUCAUUAUUUAUUUAUUUAUUAUUGUCAUUAUUGAGUUCAAGCAUGUGUUGUUGAUGAAUUUCACUUAUCUUUCUCCAUUUUUCUAGUUUUGUUUUUUAAUCUAACAUUGUGGUAUGAAUUACUUUUGAAAAAUUUGGUCAGAUUUGUUAAGUUGAUCCCAGUCCUCCUAAGGAAGAUGGCUUAGAAGAAUGCCCUUGUUCAGAAAUUUCCUAGUGUUGAAAUUCUUGGCUGCACAACCGUGAUUUAUUCUCAGCUUCAUUCUUCAUCUCAAUUGAUGAAAUGUCCCUAUUGUACCUUAUGGUGGAGCCACAUCACUCGCGGGUCAUACAUUAUCACCUCAUGCAGGUGUUUGCAUUGACAUGAAUUUGAUGAAAUAUGAGCUUGUUUCUUGUUAUAAAUCACACCACAUGAUUUUAAGGCCCCUUUUAUUAGUAAAAUUUAGUUUAUUGACAUUCAUUAAUAACUUGAUUUUGUUUUAGCUAUCAACCAUACAUUUUGGUGCUUUCUAAUGCAUUUUAAUCUCGACAUAGGGUUCACAUAUGUUUGUUUUAUAAUGGAGGUUAUUUUGAAUACUUUUCUUAGGUUUAUUUUGGCCCUUCGGUGAUAUAAUGUGUAGUUCAUGUCACUUAUGUUUCACUAGGUGCAGGGACCCCAUUUGUAGAUUUUGGGUCAAUCAAUAAGGCCUACUUGUUUCGUGUUAAUGGUGAAGCUUGUGCAGGCUCACCUUAUUGCUUUACUUCGGGUCUGUGCGGUCGUCUCUGAUUGAAUGCCUUGGAGUGGAGACUUUCUGCUAGUUUCCUUUCUUGGAGUGGGUCCUAUCCAAGUAAAGAUAUGCUAAUGGGGAAAGGGAACGUCUGGGUGCAGUUGAGUACAAGUUGUUUGUCGGCGCAUUGAACAAACAAGCUACAGAAAGGAAGUUGAGGAAAUUUUUUCACCUUAUGGUCGAGUUGAAGAGGUCUAUCUUAUGCGUGAUGAAAUGAAGCAGAGUCGUGGUUUGUCUUGUUGUUCUUUUGGAUGGUUUAAAUUUUUUGUAUAAUUUAGAACUUAAGGAUCUAAUAUUUGGAAUAUAUAGACAAUUGUUGAAUGUUUAUAAUUUAUGGAUAUAGUUUCUUUUUGAUGUUUCAAACAAUA
Molecule: non-coding RNA, 1171 nt
Organism: Camellia sinensis
Lineage: Eukaryota; Viridiplantae; Streptophyta; Magnoliopsida; Ericales; Theaceae
Source: RefSeq, a predicted model, not a curated record